UGGAAAUCAUAAAAAAAAAACAAAUGGAGUGAAAAUGGAGGGAGUUUCUCAUUUAUACAGUGAGAUAAA
Molecule: long non-coding RNA, 69 nt
Organism: Sinocyclocheilus anshuiensis
Lineage: Eukaryota; Metazoa; Chordata; Actinopteri; Cypriniformes; Cyprinidae
Exons: 3
Source: RefSeq, a predicted model, not a curated record